GGACUACCCGGGUAUCUAAUCCUGUUUGCUACCCACACUUUCGCGCCUCAGCGUCAGUUACUGUCCAGGUGGCCGCCUUCGCCACUGGUAUUCCUCCACAUCUCUACGCAUUUCACCGCUACACGUGGAAUUCUACCACCCUCUCCAGCACUCUAGCCUUCCAGUCUCGGAUGCAGUUCCCAGGUUAAGCCCGGGGAUUACACAUCCGACUUAGAAAACCGCCUACGCGCCCUUUACGCCCAAUAAUUCCGAAUAACGCUUGCCCCCUCUGUAUUACCGCGGCUGCUGGCAC
RNAcentral lists this ribosomal RNA (292 nucleotides) under uncultured Acidobacteriota bacterium. Its description in RNAcentral is "uncultured Acidobacteria bacterium partial 16S ribosomal RNA". Lineage: Bacteria; Pseudomonadati; Acidobacteriota. The record is from RNAcentral.